Molecule: ribosomal RNA, 579 nt
Filed under: uncultured Ureibacillus sp.
Lineage: Bacteria; Bacillati; Bacillota; Bacilli; Caryophanales; Caryophanaceae
Description: partial 16S ribosomal RNA
Rfam family: Bacterial small subunit ribosomal RNA
Source: RNAcentral
UNGGGAAUCUUCCACAUUCCACGAAAGCCUGAUGGAGCAACGCCCCGUGAGCGAAGAAGGUCUUCGGAUCGUAAAGCUCUGUUGUUAGGGAAGAACAAGUGCCGUAGUAACUGGCUGCACCUUGACGGUACCUUACUAGAAAGCCACGGCUAACUACGUGCCAGCAGCCGCGGUAAUACGUAGGUGGCAAGCGUUGUCCGGAAUUAUUGGGCGUAAAGCGCGCGCAGGCGGUCCUUUAAGUCUGAUGUGAAAGCCCCCGGCUUAACCGGGGGGGGGUCAUUGGAAACUGGGGGACUUGAGUGCAGGAGAGGAAAGCGGAAUUCCAUGUGUAGCGGUGAAAUGCGUAGAGAUAUGGAGGAACACCAGUGGCGAAGGCGGCUUUCUGGCCUGUAACUGACGCUGAGGCGCGAAAGCGUGGGGAGCAAACAGGAUUAGAUACCCUGGUAGUCCACGCCGUAAACGAUGAGUGCUAAGUGUUAGGGGGUUUCCCCCCCUUAGUGCUGCAGCUAACGCAUUAAGCACUCCGCCUGGGGAGUACGGUCGCAAGACUGAAACUCAANNGGGNAUUUUNUCCGGGGG